This 106-nucleotide non-coding RNA is filed under the name uncultured Phascolarctobacterium sp. Its description in RNAcentral is "SAM riboswitch (S box leader)". It matches the Rfam family "SAM riboswitch aptamer (S box leader)". From Rfam's summary of the family: The SAM riboswitch is found upstream of a number of genes which code for proteins involved in methionine or cysteine biosynthesis in Gram-positive bacteria. The SAM riboswitch acts at the level of transcription termination control. The record is from RNAcentral. Lineage: Bacteria; Bacillati; Bacillota; Negativicutes; Acidaminococcales; Acidaminococcaceae.
CUCAUCAAGAGCGAUGGAGGGAAUGGCCCUGUGAAGUCGCAGCAACCAUUGCAGAGUGACAUCUGUAAACGGUGCUAAGUCCUGCAGCAACAGCUGUAAGAUGAGA